This is a long non-coding RNA of Brassica rapa (field mustard), 985 nucleotides long. RefSeq lists it as uncharacterized. The record is from RefSeq and is a predicted model, not a curated record. Lineage: Eukaryota; Viridiplantae; Streptophyta; Magnoliopsida; Brassicales; Brassicaceae.
UUUCCAGAGAUUCCGGCGACCCAAAGCUUAAAGUUACCGACUUUAUCGCUAAUCACAGAUUCUAGACCGAAGCGAGAUGAAGAGAGGAACGGAAGAUUAUCUGGGUUUCGACUCUUUUCCAGAAAGAGAUCAUCUUUCGAUGUGGGUUUCACCGAUUUAGUGUUUUCCGAAGAGAAUGUGAAUCAUUACAUUCAUCGAGUUGGUCUUCUCUGCUCACGGAGUGGCUACAGUCUUCAAACGGCAUGCGACUCGUUAAAAGGAUUCACGCGAUGUCAUUGAAGUGUUUAGACGAUCAAUCAAGUGAGAAUUGAUGAUUUGGUUUAUGCACGUAAAGUGUUCGACAGUAUGCCUGAGAGAAACACAGUUACUUAGACUGCGAUGAUUAAUGGGUAUUUAAAUAGGAGAUCAGAGUUUCAGCUUGGGAGACAGAGUGGAGAAUCUCAUUGGAGAGAGUUCUCUUGUUUAUUUCUACCCUCAGUGUGGUGAGUUGACUAGUGCGUUAUGAGCUUUUCAUAUGAUGGAGGGGAAAGAUGUGAUAUCUUGGACAGCUGUUAUAUCUGCUUGUUCGAGAAAAGGGCAUGGUAAUAAAGCUAUAAUUAUGUUUAUCGAAAUGUUGGAUCAUGGGUUCUUGGAAGGCCAUGAUAAUAUGGGUUAGGCAAGGAAUGGGUUUUGCAGGGAAAUAAUUGAAGCUAAUGUAUAGAAUGGAGGCAGAAAGAUUUAAAGUUGAUGAUUAUAUAUUUGCAAAUUGCAACGAUUGUAAUCUACUUGUGGAGAUAUUGACCUAGAUGAAGUUGAAUCUUCUGCAACACCUUGUUACUUGGAGACCUCUUUGAUUUUUCUUCUCUAUAUGACAAAGUUCCUAAAAAGAAUGCGUUCUAGAAUAGCAUCAAAUGUGAAAGAAAUAAUAUUUUGUAAGAUAGUGUAGUUACCAAGUUCGUCUAUCUGGUUGAGACCAUUUUAUGUUCUAAACAUCUUCAUUGCUUAA